Pelodiscus sinensis (Chinese soft-shelled turtle) is the source of this 517-nucleotide non-coding RNA. NCBI's taxonomy places the organism in Eukaryota, Metazoa, Chordata, Testudines, Trionychidae. The record is from RefSeq and is a predicted model, not a curated record.
UUGACCUCUAUGGUCUGAACUUCUGGAGUCUGGCACCAUCUGUGGUCCUGCAUCCCUGAGGGUUCUCACAGGGAAACGCCAGCCCCUUGCUCAACGAUUCCUACCUCACCCCUCCAGAGCUUCUGGAGCAUUGCAAGCUCGGGGGGGAGGAGAAAGGGAGGGGAAGAAGUGGGGACAGGGGAUGCACAGGGGAAGAGGCAGGAGACAAGAACUAUGGCAGCAGCACCAGGAAACACCUUCACUGCCCCGAGACAUCAGAACCAAUCUCAGCUCAAUUUCUGCAGGGGAAUGGAGUUCACAGCUGAAAGGAGGAAAAACAUAAGUCAAGUGUGCAGGAAAGAACUGGAGUUUGCAUAUAGAGAAACAAUCUACUGUCUCUGUUGUUACACUUUCAAAGAUACAGGGCAGAAGAAUGGACAUCCUGCACUUACCAGCCAGCGUUGUGGGGAAAUCCGAUGACAUAGGUAAUGUUUCACUGAGUGAGGAGGACACUAGAAAUAAAACAAAUAAGCUAAUA